This 253-nucleotide ribosomal RNA is filed under the name uncultured bacterium. RNAcentral describes it as "partial 16S ribosomal RNA". It matches the Rfam family "Bacterial small subunit ribosomal RNA", at positions 524 to 776 of the family's 1533-position model. The record is from RNAcentral.
GACGAACCGUCCAAACGUUAUUCGGAAUCACUGGGCUUACAGAGUUCGUAGGCGGUCCCAAAAGUUAGGUGUGAAAUCCCUCGGCUCAACCGAGGAACUGCGCUUAAAACUGUGGGACUCGAGGGAGAUAGAGGAAAGCGGAACUGAUGGUGGAGCGGUGAAAUGCGUUGAUAUCAUCAGGAGCACCGGUGGCGAAGGCGGCUUUCUGGGUCUUACCUGACGCUGAGGAACGAAAGCUAGGGGAGCGAACGGG